GACGAACGCUGGCGGCGUGCUUAACACAUGCAAGUCGAACGGAAAGGCCCUGCUUGCCGGGUACUCGAGUGGCGAACGGGUGAGUAACACGUGGGUGAUCUGCCCUGCACUUCGGGAUAAGCCUGAGAAACUGGGUCUAAUACCGGAUAGGAGCCAUUUUUAGUGUGAUGGUUGGAAAGUUUUUUCGGUGUAGGAUGAGCUCGCGGCCUAUCAGCUUGUUGGUGGGGUAAUGGCCUACCAAGGCGGCGACGGGUAGCCGGCCUGAGAGGGUGGACGGCCACAUUGGGACUGAGAUACGGCCCAGACUCCUACGGGAGGCAGCAGUGGGGAAUAUUGCACAAUGGGCGCAAGCCUGAUGCAGCGACGCCGCGUGGGGGAUGACGGCCUUCGGGUUGUAAACUCCUUUCGCUAGGGACGAAGCUUUUUGUGACGGUACCUAGAUAAGAAGCACCGGCUAACUACGUG
Molecule: ribosomal RNA, 465 nt
Filed under: uncultured bacterium
Lineage: Bacteria
Description: partial 16S ribosomal RNA
Rfam family: Bacterial small subunit ribosomal RNA
Source: RNAcentral